UACGUAGGGGGCUAGCGUUGUCCGGAUUUAUUGGGCGUAAAGAGCGUGUAGGCGGCCAGGUAGGUCUGCUGUGAAAACUCGAGGCUCAACCUCGAGACGUCGGCGGAAACCAUCUGGCUAGAGUCCGGAAGAGGAGAGUGGAAUUCCUGGUAUAGCGGUGAAAUGCGCAGAUAUCAGGAAGAACACCCGUGGCGAAGGCGGCUCUCUGGGACGGUACUGACACUGAGGCGCGAAAGCGUGGGGAGCGAUCCGG
This 253-nucleotide ribosomal RNA is filed under the name uncultured bacterium. RNAcentral describes it as "partial 16S ribosomal RNA". It matches the Rfam family "Bacterial small subunit ribosomal RNA", at positions 524 to 776 of the family's 1533-position model. The record is from RNAcentral.